Molecule: small nucleolar RNA, 141 nt
Organism: Mus pahari (shrew mouse)
Lineage: Eukaryota; Metazoa; Chordata; Mammalia; Rodentia; Muridae
Product: small nucleolar RNA SNORA48
Exons: 1
Source: RefSeq, a predicted model, not a curated record
ACCCCCGGCAAUGGGCAGAGGGACAUCACAAUGGUGGUGGUGUUUUUACAUUAGUCAGAGAGAGCGGAUAGCAGUUCUUUGUUCAUCCUAGAUUGAUGCUUGCCUUGAUGGCCAAAGCUGGUUUAUGCCUAGAACAUAUAG